UUUGACUCUGAGAUAGCACGGGGAGAACUCUUUGAGUUAAAACUGUGGAAAGACGGCGCGUUCGCCUUUCAAGAAGAGCCGAUUUUUGCAGCCCUCCCACCAGCAGGACCGGGAGCGACGGCAAGGGAUUGGCAUCACAUACCAGCUGAGUUACCGCUCGCUCUAGAGAGUUUCCAUCUGAUCGGGACAGAGUUUUGCUUUCUGCCCACACACACACACACACACAGCCCUGGCUUGUCACUGCUGAUUCACCCCCAAAGUACCAGCAGCUGGGCAGUAUCUGCUCCACGUUGUCCCAUUGCCCCCACCAGCAAAACAAGACAGAAAAGAAAUUGCCUUUGCAACAGCAACUUUUGAUGGCAUUUAGGUUCCUGAAUCUUUCAGGGUGCCAGUGCACAGCUGGGAUCAGAUCAACGAGCCUGCUUCCCAGUGUCAGCCCUGCCCUCAGCCCGUGGUGGGACCCUGCCAGCCUCUAAAACACAGACUUAGGAAGAAGAAAUCGGGGAAACAAACCCUGCAGUUUUGUUGCGUGCAUUUCCCCACAUCCUGGGAGCCAGUAUAAUUUUGCCGCUGAUGAGAUAGAACAGAGAGCUCCGGUGCCAUCGAACCGGUACAGAGCAUCUCCAGCUUCUGCCCCUCAGCCCCACCAGAGUGGGACCCAAGCCGUGAACGCAGCACAUGCAGGAGACACAAACGUGGCUGUGGGACACAUGCAAAGCCCUGGCAGCACAGCCACCAGUGAAAGCCCUGAGCCACGCUGGGACCUCGCUUCCCUGGCGGCUGCUGGAUGCAGUACACAGGGAUGCGUUCCCAGCGGUGCCCAGGAGCUACAGCUGGCUUGGAAAAUGCCCGUACGGACAUGCAUGGGGAUGUACUUCAGGAACUGGGACAAAUUCAGAAGAUCCUCAUUCACAUGCCGUAAAGGAGAAGACGGAAUGAAGUUUCUAGCCAAAACCAGGGAACCAAAGGAACCAGCUGACAAUAGUGGGAUCAGCAGGGGCACUGCAAAGACUCCAGAAAACCCCAGACCAGGUUGUAUCCGGCAGUGGGACUGGACAGGCACAGGCAAAGCUCAGGGCUCUUGUUGGAUCUAAUCAACAAAUAAUCAAAGAAUAAUCUGCUAUAAUCUGCUUCUGAGAACGCAGAGCAGAUCUGCUCCUGAGGCCUUUAGUGGAAACAAACUCUUCUGGUCCCCCCUCACCUGGCACAGCACAACAUGGUGCCCAAGAGAGGACUGCUGGUCUGGGCUCUCCCUUCUUAGACUUUCAAACCUUAAAAUAAAUUUGCCCAGCCUGGG
This is a long non-coding RNA of Oxyura jamaicensis (ruddy duck), 1297 nucleotides long. RefSeq lists it as uncharacterized. Lineage: Eukaryota; Metazoa; Chordata; Aves; Anseriformes; Anatidae. The transcript is spliced from 2 exons. The record is from RefSeq and is a predicted model, not a curated record.